Molecule: ribosomal RNA, 455 nt
Filed under: Kiritimatiellia bacterium
Lineage: Bacteria; Pseudomonadati; Kiritimatiellota; Kiritimatiellia
Description: partial 23S ribosomal RNA
Rfam family: Bacterial large subunit ribosomal RNA
Source: RNAcentral
ACCCCGGGGAUAACAGGCUUAUCGCUCCCGAGCGUCCAUAGCGGCGGAGCGGUUUGGCACCUCGAUGUCGGCUCAUCACAUCCUGGGGCUGUAGGCGGUCCCAAGGGUUGGGCUGUUCGCCCAUUAAAGUGGUACGCGAGCUGGGUUCAGACCGGCGUGAGCCAGGUCGGUCCCUAUCUGCUGUGGGCGUUGCAUUAUUGAAAGGAUCUUUUCCUAGUACGAGAGGAUUGGAAAGGACUCACCCCUGGUGUGCCAGUUGGACCGCUCGGUCCAUCGCUGGGUAGCUAAGUGAGGCAGGGAUAACCGNNNNNNNNNNGGGAAGCCCCCCUAAAGAUGAGUAAUGCAUGUUCUUUAGAAUGAGAGACCCCCGGAAGACUACCGGGUUGAUAGGCCGCGUGUGUACGCAUAGAAAUAUGUUUAGCAAAGCGGUACUAACGGUCAAAGAUCUUGUCAUG